RNAcentral lists this long non-coding RNA (1022 nucleotides) under Meriones unguiculatus (Mongolian gerbil). RNAcentral's name for it is "lncRNA (ENSMUGG00000001341.1)". Lineage: Eukaryota; Metazoa; Chordata; Mammalia; Rodentia; Muridae. The record is from RNAcentral.
AAGACAUAGGUUAUUUAUAUGCAGCAAUACAUCACCGCCUUAUUGCCCUUCGAAGUCUCAGCAAGCAGGGUGAUGGUGGUCCAGCUGAAAGCCAGUCGGAUGCAGGCCUCCAGCAGUUCAGCUGUGAGAGCUGUGAUGAGGAUGAGGAUGAGUUCCUACAAGUCACUAAAAAUGGAUCAGACCCUUCAAGGUGGAGCCACAGACAGUCCGUUGUCUGCUCAUAAGUACUCUUCUACAGCAGACAGGACUGCUAGAGGAAGAGUGCUCACGCUACUGAAAGGCCUGACCAUCCACUGAGAAGACUCUAUUCAGACCUCAACGAGGUUUUGUUUUUAUUUUUAAAUUAAAGAAACACAAUUUCUUGUAAUUAAAAGUUUUAUGUUUUACAUUUUGAUUAUCGUGUGCAAAAUUUAAGAAAUGAACUUCAGAAGAUAAAAAAAUCAUAGUUUUGUGGAUUAAUCUAGAAUAGGAUUUGAUAACUAAUUUGGACUACUCAUCACAUUGAUGAAUAUAGUAAUUAAAAGUAAAACUGUUGGCUUUCAUAAAUAUCUAAACAAAGUAUUUAUUUUAAUCAUAUGUUGUCUGGCUAUAGAAAAAAUAUUUUACUAAAUUUACAGUUGUAUCUUUAAAAUACUAUAACUGUGAGGCCUUUUAUUAAAUUGUGUUUAUCUUCUGAGAAAUGUAUAUUUCACUUACACUUUGAAUUUUCUAAUACAUAUUUUCAAGUAAGAAUUCUUUUACAAAAGUGCCCAUUUGUGGACUUGUAUCCAUUGCAUCUUAUGUAUUUGAUUCAGUCAGCUCACAAGAGAUGUUGAAUAAUUGAACAAAAUGUAAUAUAGUACCUAUGUGUCAAAAAUAUCCAAAAGCCAAAUAUCAGUGUGCUUUAUUUAUGUGAUUGUCAUUAGCAGUUUGUUAGGUGUGGCAUGCAGAAGCUCUUUUAUAACAAUGUAUCAUAUAUAGCCAGAUGAGUAUCUCAGAUCCCCUCAGUAUGGUAUAGUAACUUCAACAAUUUUUAGCAGAUG